This is an RNA transcript of Oncorhynchus tshawytscha (Chinook salmon), 868 nucleotides long. RefSeq lists it as uncharacterized. NCBI's taxonomy places the organism in Eukaryota, Metazoa, Chordata, Actinopteri, Salmoniformes, Salmonidae. The transcript has 3 exons. The record is from RefSeq and is a predicted model, not a curated record.
AGGGCCGUCACUAAAAUGGAAACAAACGAUUGGCUUCUAUUCGAAACCAAUCAACCAUUUUCUUACGCGUCAAUCAGGUUGAGGACAACACGCUUGACCGUACCGAAUUUAAAAUAUUUUCGUAGCAAUUUUCCUCAAUGUUUCAACAGAAUACAAUCCGGGUUACGAAUCGUAUAUUUUGGCAUACAAGUUAUACUUUGUCGAGAUCAUGGACUCAGUUAUCAAGGACAAGACUACUGCACGUACAACCGCUUGCAUCAGGGACCAGUCAAUGGUCCUCUUCACAGUCAAGACACAGCAGUGGUCCGACUUUGCCAGUUGCUUUCAGGCAGUAUCGAAGAGACGUACCUCUACAUAACCAAUUCUCUACCACAACACACGUCUGCAGCGAUUCUAUUGGGAAGAUUCAUUCGACGCAUUACCACUUGGUUUACACAUGCAAGGUGUGCUCAACCAGGUCAACGAAGAGGAUAUCCAAGGUAGCCUAUCAUAAAGGUGUUGUCCUAGUGACCUGCCCAGGAUGUGAAAAACACCACAUUAUUGCUGACAACUUGGGUUGGUUCUCUGAUCUGAAGGGAAAGAAGUUGUUAGCCAAGUUAAUAUAGGAACAUUGAGGAAAUCCUUGCAGCGAAAGGGGAGAAAGUGAAGAGGGUAGAAGAAGAGGCGGCCUUCGAGAUUGUUGUAGAUGAGUCCGGCAAGGAUACAACACAGACUGCUCAAGAUGCAAAGAAACCUUCACCAGAGUCUGAUGACUCAGGGAAAUCAUGACGAACUCUCUGUGGGUGUGGGGGUGUGUGUGCACAACAAGGACAUUGUUCUCUAUGAGGGGAAAAAUUGCUAUUAAGUAAAUGUAACACUUCUUUUGAUA